UGUCCUGCUGGUGGCAGGGGCUGGGAGAAGAGAUGUGUCCUCCCCUGCUGCCCCCAGAGAGAGGGGCCAGCGGGGCUGGGGGUUUAGCCCAACUUUGAGGAAGAGCAGAUGGGAUUUACCGAGGCCGAGGGACGGCUGGGGGACCCAAGUGGCCGGGCAGGCUCUGCCACCAGCCAGCUGUGUGUGGAAUUUAUGUCGCCUCUCUGGGUCUCAGUUUCCUCAUCCGGCUUUGACAAAUUUUCAAGGACCUUCGUGGCUCUGAUUUUAGGACAAAUGCAACAUGCGUGUCCGGGAGCCAGCUUGGUGGUCACUUGGGUUGGGUGGGAGUUGGGGAGGGUUCCCUAGAUGGAUGUCAGAUUUCGGAGUAAUGUGGGGCAGAGGGGCAGGAUAAGACUUCUGGGUCAUCUCUAGGGGACUGGGUUAAAUCAUACCAUCAACUCAUUCAUUUGUUCAUUCAUUCACUAUUUAGUCAUCACAGGCUACAAGCCCAGGGCAGUGCUGGGCGCAGUGAACAAGACACGGUCCCUGACCUUGGCAAGGUUCCCAAUGUGAUGGGGGAGGGGCAAGCGCAGGGGGCUGGGGGCGCUGAGGAAUGGCCCCUAACCUGGGCUUUGGAGGUGAGAUGUGUCCUGAGGAAGCUGACAUCUAAGCUGGGACCCAAACAGUAAAUAGGGAAGGCCCGGGAGGAGGUGGGGAAGGGGAGCACCAGGAGGAGGAAGGGUCUAUGCAGAGGUGCGGGUGGGCACAAGCAGGGUUUGUGGAGGGACCGGGACAGGCCAGCAUCAUGGAAAGGAGGCCCAGUGGGAGGGGGUGAGUCAGAGGUGGGUUCAGGUUUCAUCGUGGGGCCAUGGGGGCCAUGGAGGGCUCUGAGCAGCAUCUCUCCGGGAAGGCACCUGGCCAAGAGCACUUCAGCGCCGUGGGUGUCUUUCUGAGACCCAGGUCUCGUAAGGCCCCACGUCUGGAAGUCCUGGAAGUGCACAGUUACGGCUGAAACAUGUGUGAUGCGGAGCUAGACUAUUUUAGGAUCUAGUGCUGAAAUGGAUAAAAGCUUUGGAGAGACGAGACAGACUUUGGCCCCAUCACAGAGUCUCGGUGCUGGAUCUGGGCGCCCUGGUGGGAGUCAUCUCCAAUCCAUGGACUCGCUGGAUGGCCAUCUGUCCAGCUCUGGAAGGAAGGGCGAUUGGGACGGGCAGACCUUCAUCUUGGAGUGAAGAGGCAGGAGCGCGCAUCACAGACAGAUCUGGUUUUCCGGUAUUGGCUCCAUCAUGCAUGAGCUGUGCAUCUUUGGGGCACUAGGGUGCAGAAUGCAUUCGUGUCUGGGGACCACUCGGAGAGGCUGCAAUCCGCAAGUAAUGAAAAGCAGCAUUUGCAUCCCGCGACAGCAGGUGCUUGGGUCACCGGGUUCUAGUGGGGCAGUUUCUCAUGAAUUGCUAAUUCACACAGCAACCGAGGAAUCUUGUUGGAAACGCCGAUUGGGUGUAACCUCAUGCUACAGAAGAUGAAACAGGGCCCAGAGAAAGCAAGCAACUUGCCAGAGGUCACACAGCACACUGGUGGAGUCCCGACCUGCACUGAAAGUCCCCGGCUCUGCCCAGUGCUCCUCCCACUGGGGGCCAGCCUUUGCUGACAGUGCCAUUAGGCACCUGUACUCUCCUGAUUCUUCAGCCAGGCAGGGCAUAAAUGUUUUUUUGCAUGACCUAGAGAGCAAAGGCUAGUUUAGCAAAACAAAACAAACAAACAAACAAACAAACAAACAAACAAAAAACCCCCCAGAUAAUUCCAAGUGAAUCCCAAUUGCAGGAGCAAUGCUUCCCUUCUUGAGACUUUCUGGAACCACUUCAGCUUCAAAUGCGUGUGAUAAUUACCUAAGGUUCUUAUCUUCUCCUUAGAGCUAGUCCCUUCUGCUCUGGGCUUGGCAAUCCUGGAGGCCAUUUCCGGAGACUACGCGUCGUCUCGAUACCUCCGAAGGUCUUUCAAAAAUGCGUCUUAUCCAGAUGUCCCCCAGGGCUCUUGGGCUAUUUGAUAUCAAUGAAGAUUUUUGUUCCUCUGCCCCCCUUGGGUGCUAGGCAGGGGAGCUGGGGGUGCAGAGGUCAGCGAUUUGCUUGGGCAGUCAGAACUGCCCUGAUUUCCAGCAGCUGCGGCUGGAGCAGGAUCCGGGGGGAUUCCCUGGAGAAGGGGGUUUGUACACCCACCACCUCACUGGGUUCUCCGUUACUCCUUCCAGUUCCACGCUGGGUCACCUUGACCCUGCUCGUUGCCCACAGUGAGGGUGGAGGCCUAGAAUCGGGUGACUUGAGAGGCUGGAUGGCCCAGUCCGACCACAUCAUGUAAGAGGACAGAGGCCCAGAAAGCACAAGCAGUUGGUUCAAGGUCACAUAGUGAGUGCGAGUCCAUGGUCACUAAGAGGUUAACAUCUCAGAGGCAGAGAAUCUGGGAAUAUUUGAGCCUAGAAGCCUCCCAGCUCCAGUGCACCCAGCACCCAGCAAGGGGAAGCCGCUUGCCCAAACCAGUGCCCGGUGUUCCCACUCUCGGCCCAACAGCUACUUCCAUUAAUGGUGGGCCAAGGAGGGGAUGUCACACCCGCCCCUCUCCCUACCCUGACGCUUGGGCUACUGGCUACACAGCUGCAGAAGUGUUACUUUUGCACGGGAAGGUGUGUCGGGAGAUGCCAAGGCUGUCCUCACACCUGCUUGAGGCCUUGAGCAAGACAGCCUACAACCCUUAUCCCUCCCAGUGAUGCUGAUUUUAUGCCAACAGCCCAGACUGUCAUCCUGCCCUGCCUGGGGUCGUGGUGGCCAGGGUGCUGGUGACUGCCCCACUGGGUUCCUCCCCAGAGGGUGAUUCUAAAGCAGAACAGUCAGCCAAGCAGCAGACAGGACUUUAUAUGAAGUCUCCGGCCCCUUCCCGUCCCUUGGGGAUGGAUCACCGGGUUCCCGGAGCCUCAGAGCAGGACCCGUGUGGAGAGAGCCCCUCCUGGGAGAUUUUGCGGGGUAGCAGGAGGGCAGGGCAGGGCUCCGCAUCCAGGGUGCAGGCUGUGCGGGGGGCAGGGCAUCACAUGCUGUCGGGCCUGCCUCUUCUCUACGUGGAGGGCGUCCUGCUGGAGCCGCUCUCCCCCUCAGUCCCUGCUGGCUGAAGACCGGGCAUUUCUUGAGUCUUCGUGAGGCUGGGACGCGUGCCAGAGCCCACAGCCCUUCCACAGGUCAGUUUGCACCGCGGGGACCUCCAGAUCUCCCUGCAGGGGGGCGACAUCUGUGGGGGCUUUGUGCCAGGGCCCUGGGGCCCAAGGGACCACUUGGUGAAGAGACGUUAAGGCCUUGGAGAGCGGGGGUGUGCGGGUUCAGACUGAGGUCCCAAGCCGCUGGAUUUCCAGAGGAGUCUUCAGGGCAGAGACGGCUGGGUGCCAGCCCCCAGGGAAGCUGAGGCUGUGCCUGUCACCAGGGGGUGUUACAGGAGGGCCUGAGAGAGGGAAGCCCCCAGGGGCUCUCUGCUGUACAAUUCAAGGGUCCUUCAUCUCUGAAUAAAUUGCCCUCCCAGCUGAAGCGGCUGCCCCCAGAUGUGCUGCAGCCGGGUGCUGGUUCUGUUGCAAAGAGGCCCCCCAGGACCCCAGAAUGCAGCCGAGGCAGGGGCCGCUUGAGCCCCUCAGAGUAAGCAGCGUUCGCCUUGCACAAUUCCUGAAAGUGGGCAAAUUAUUUCAGGUGUUGCCUGGUUUCUCCAGCGGCUUUGCGACCAUGUCUCUUCUUUUUGGACUAUUUUUGCCCAGACUGAAGCUUAGUUUUAACAUCUCAGCUUGCAGGGUGUCUCCCCGACCCCCCCGGUCCUCCCCGCCUCCUCUUCUUAAACAGAGUCUGCGAACUAAAAUAUACUAAGGGCUUCCAAAGGCCCCCGAGUGACUCUGUAACAUGUUGGGAAGGGUGGCUCUCCAGUUGGUUUGUAAGUGGGGUUUCGGGGGGCCGGACCAUCAGGGUGGAGACGAGGCAGCAGGUGGAGGUGGUCUCCUGCGCCCAGACGCAAGCUCGCAGGUCUGGUUACUAGCAGUCUUGGGGUUUGCUCAUCCACCCUUUUAUUUGAGGGGGGCUUUACCCACGGGACCCUCCUCCAGAGAGAACUUGGGUCCAAACUGUAUGUUCUCUCUCCCCGCCCCUCGGCCGCCUGGACGUCCUGCUGAGAGGAACCUUUGGAGCUUCUAGAGAUCUAGUCCAACUCCUUCACCUCACGCACUAAUUUUACAGAUUAAGGAUACCUUAUGAAUCUCACAGAAGGAUGUUCGGAGGAAUAAAUGAACCACUGAGGACUCUGUUGGGCUAAGACUCUCUCCUGGCCCAAGGAUGGAUCACCGCCACCAUCUCAGUGAAGGACGGAGUCGGCCGCCUGCCCACUCACCUUCAGGAGCAGCGUACUUGUCGCGGCCCGGGGACGUGGUCUCGCCAAAGGGUGCCGUGGGGCUUUCCUCCACAUCUACGACACACGAAGCCAGUGAGGCCCGAGCUCCCCGGCCCUCCCUUUCUUUCCUCUUGUUCCCCCAAAGAGAGGGAGGGUCCGAGUUCAUGUGAGCUGGGGGGCGGGCUGCGAGAGCGAGGUCGGGGUCUGCACUCCUGCUUACGAGGGCCUUCAUCUGCCAAAGAUUGAACGCCAUGGCUCCACCAGAAGAGUCAGGUAGGCCUGGGUUCGAAUCCCGACUCCCCCAUCCACCAGCGGCUGUGUGACCCCGGGAAAGUGACCCCCUUUAUAAGUUUAGAUUGGAAACCGGGGAUACGAGUAGGUCUCUCACAGGGUCGUUGUAGGGUUAGGGGAGAUCAUGCACACAGAGUACUUAGUGCCUGGCCCGAUGUCAGUGCUCCCCAAGGCCCUGAGCUGCAGAGCCAGCUGGGAUGUGGGAGCAGGUCAGGGGCCAGAGGGUGCGGGGAGAGGCGGGCAUCAGCUCACUAGGUCUGUGCCUCACUGAGGGGCUCGUGCCAGCUCUCCGGGAGCCACCGUAACACGGCACCGACGUGUCAGAGGGCUCUGAGCAAACUGACUGCACAUGGUUUGUUCAACGUGCAGAAUUGGGGUGAUCAUCCUCACGAUUAUCACUUCCAGGGCUAGGCCCUGAUGGGCAAUAUACCACAAGGGAAGAGUGCAAAAUAUGGAAAAGGCUUCCUGCGCAAAUGUUGAUCGAAGCCUUCGUCUCCCCCGAGACUAUCAGUGGCUCUGUGACGGCCCAGAAGCUCUGUUUGUCGCCGGGGGCUGGGGCACAGGGCCACCGCGAAUUAGGGACUGAACGCAGAGCCACUGAGGCAGCCGGGAGGCCAGUAGUGAACCUCAUGGGCUCUGGAGCCAGGCACGGCCCCGGGUUCAGGUCUUGGCUCUACCGCGUAUCUGCUGUGUGACAGUGAGUUAAGUCACUUAACACCUCUCUGGGCCUCGCUUUCCUCAUCCACUGUGUCAGAUGGUUGUGAGGAGUCACGGAUGAUUGGAACAGCGCCCAGCACAGAGAAAACCCACAGGACGUGUUAGCUCUUAUCAUCCUUGGGGACCGAAAAGGCUUGGGAUAGAAUAAGAGUUUAGAAAUCACACACACUUGGGUGUGAAUCAGAGGUCAGUUGAAAAGAAAGGAUUUGGGGCGCUUGGGUGACUCAGUCAGUUAAGGGUCUGACUGUUGGUUUUGGGUCUGGUCAUGAUCUCAGAGUCGUGGGAUGAGGCUCUGGCUUAGUGGGGAGUCUGCUCAGGAUUCUCAUUCUCUCCUUCUGCCCCUCCCCACCCUGAAAAUAAAUAAAUCAAUCUUUAAAAACAUUGGGAUUUGUGAUUUUGAUGGAAGCCAUGGGCCACCAAGAACUGAGCCAUGCAGAAAUGAAAAGGGAGACAGAAAUUUCUUCCAGACUGGAAGCCCAGCUUGGCUCAGGGGUUCCAGCAGUAGCCUUCCCCGCCUCAGUCUGGGAGGCUCUGAGGGACCAAAGAAGUGGCUGUGCUUUUAAAUUCUGGACUCACACGUUCUUCUACCCCUCACACACUUCUUUACCCCAUCGAUGUCUGUGAGA
This is an RNA transcript of Canis lupus familiaris (dog), 6014 nucleotides long. RefSeq lists it as uncharacterized. The record is from RefSeq and is a predicted model, not a curated record. The transcript is spliced from 4 exons. NCBI's taxonomy places the organism in Eukaryota, Metazoa, Chordata, Mammalia, Carnivora, Canidae.